Long non-coding RNA from Dreissena polymorpha, 583 nucleotides. RefSeq lists it as uncharacterized. The transcript has 2 exons. The record is from RefSeq and is a predicted model, not a curated record. NCBI's taxonomy places the organism in Eukaryota, Metazoa, Mollusca, Bivalvia, Myida, Dreissenidae.
CAGUCUGUCGGUCGGUCCGUUCACCAGGUGGUUUCCGGAUGAUUACUCAAGAACGCUUGGGCCUAGGAUCAUGAAACUUCAUAGGUAAUUUGAUCAUGACUCGCAGAUGACCCCUAUUGAUUUUGAGGUCACUAGGUCAAAGGUCAAGGUCACGGUGACCCGAAAUAGUAAAAUGGUUUCCAAAUGAUAACUCAAGAACGCUUAUGCCUAGGAUCAUGAAACUUGAUAGGUAGAUUGAUCAUGAUUCGCAGUUGACCCCUUUUGAUUUUCAGGUCACUAUAUCAAAGGUCAAGGUCACGGUGACCUCAAAUAGUAAAAUGGUUUCCGGAUGAUAACUCAAGAACGCUAAUGGCUACGAUCAUGAAACUUCAUAGGUAUAUUGAUCAUGACUCGCAGAUGACCCCUAUUGAUUUUGAGGUCACUAGGUCAAGGUCAUGGUGACCCGAAAUAGUAAAAUGGUUUCCGGAUGAUAACUCAAGAACGCUUAUGCCUAGGAUCAUGAAACUUCAUAGGUACAUUGAUCAUGACUCGCAGAUGACCCCUAUUGAUUUUGAGGUCACUAGGUCAAAGGUCAAGUUCACGG